CUCGGCCCUCUGCUGCAGUUCGGCCUUCCGCUGCUCGUGAAUCUCCGAUUCUCAGGGAUUUGCAUUGUCGAAUCCCUUUUUAGGGAUUUGCAUUGUUGCAACCCUUUUUAGGGUUGGCAUGCUUUUGUUCCCAGGUAUAUUGUUGGAUAGUUUCCAGUUGCCCUGGCUUGAAACAGUUUGACCAUCAGUUUGGAACAGAUGAUGAGAGCCUGUAAAAUGCAAUUCCUAUUUGUGUAGUCUCAGGUGCUCGGUGGACCACUAAAAAACAGUUGCAGUUGUGAUUUUGGGGUCCUAUUGCUGAUGACAUGUUCCACUAGAAUUGGACUUUCUGACAGCAGUAUAUUUUCAGAUUUUUGUGACUAGUGUAGCUGUACCUAAACUGUCUUGGAGUUUUGUGUAGCGCCUCUAAUGCAUUUCUGCUUUCAUUUCUGUUAUCUAUUUGCUUAUGCUUGAUGGAACUUGUUGUUAGUGUUUUACCUAUUUGAUCUAUUAUGUUGCAGCCUUAGUCUGACUAGUUAAGGAUCUUGGCCUGACUCAGUCAACUAGCAAGUACUAGAGGCUUGGAGAGUUUAAAUAAGUCAUGACCGGAUAUUUGCAGCUCUAUUUACGAGUACAUCUGAACAACCUCAUUUUGCCGUGCAAGUCAUCUAAGUCCAAAACACAUAAGGCUUGCAGCUGAUUGGCCUCCAACAAUGCAAAUAGUUCGCCUUAUAUCUCAGGAUCACAUGAAUAACAAGCAAUAUGUUGGCAAGGCAGAUUUCUUAGUUUUCCGGGCACUAAAUUAGCACGGUUUUCUUGGACAACUACAAGAAAAGAAGCUUGUGAGUCAUGUGGAGUUUCAGCUGUUACUUAGUUUUGUUGAUGUGUUUAUUCGACUGCCUAUAUUGUAUCUGUCUUUCAUCGGCUAGCUUGAUCAUGAGAGUCAUCUGUAUCAUCCCAUUUGUCGACACUUGAUUUAUUAGUUUCAUAUGAGUUAUAAUACUAUACUGUGCUUGUGAUAUACUGAUACCUAUGUCUUUUCCUUCUACAUUUUUUGUCCAAUUGAUACCGUUGCAUCCCCCUCCUGGCGAUACAUCAGCACCCCUCCCGGCGAUACAUCAACACAGAGAACCGUAUUGAUUGACGGCACCAAAGAACAAAUUGGAUCUGCAAAACAAUUGGUCAAUGAAGUCAUCAGUGAGGUAUGUAUGAGAUUCCUAGAUUGGCUUGUAUACUGGACCCCCGUUUUGCCUGAAAAUAGUCAAAGAACAAGUUCACUCCUAAUUGUGUUUACGGAAUAGUAUUUUAUCAUUUUUUACUGGGUUUUUGUCCCGAGUAAAAUGGCUCUAACCUAGCAUCUCAUGAACUGCACACAUGAGAUUCUACACUUUGUUCAAACCAAUCAUUGGCACAGCAAGAUUGUCCAGGGAUGUGAACCUUCCACUUCCUGGGCAUGUCAUACUAAAUCCUGCUGUCAGUACUGUGUACAUGCAAAUGCAUGUCAGUUGCAAUAUCUCCACAAAAAGUAAAGGCAAGGACAUUAGUGACCAUGCCAACCUACGUGGCUAGGUAUGCUUUGUCUAACCUGGCUUCUUCUGCAAUUAUGUGCUCUCCAUAUCUACAUAGGAUAGGUAUAAUCAGUAUUUUUUAUAUUGCUUCUGUACUGGUUUCUUCUGCAAUUAUGUCCUCUUUAGUACUGUUUGCCUUAUAUUUCGAUCUGCCAAACUGUUCCUCAAUUACAAAAUAGGAGCUUGUUCAUAAAAUACUCUUGCAUAUUUGUGAUAUCAUUGAGGCAGGUAAUCAGGAUUUCUGCUGGGACUAUACUUCUUGUUUGCAUUUUAUUUG
Magnolia sinica is the source of this 1824-nucleotide long non-coding RNA. RefSeq lists it as uncharacterized. The transcript has 7 exons. Lineage: Eukaryota; Viridiplantae; Streptophyta; Magnoliopsida; Magnoliales; Magnoliaceae. The record is from RefSeq and is a predicted model, not a curated record.